GGACUUAUAGUGAAGCGGUUAUCACCCAGCACUUUGAAUGCUGUAUCCCGGGUUCGAAUCCCGGUAGGUCCUUGUUAUUUUUGCCAUUUUUAGCGAAGCUGACACAGUCAACUUUCAG
Molecule: transfer RNA, 118 nt
Filed under: Phaeodactylum tricornutum CCAP 1055/1
Lineage: Eukaryota; Bacillariophyta; Bacillariophyceae; Surirellales; Neidiaceae
Description: snRNA PTsRNA00034b
Rfam family: tRNA (bases 1-72)
About the family: Transfer RNA (tRNA) molecules are approximately 80 nucleotides in length.
Source: RNAcentral